CGCCACUUUGUGGUUCAUGACUGGGGUGAAGUCGUAACAAGGUAGCGCUAGGGGAACCUGGCGCUGGAUCACCUCCUUAAACGAUGAU
RNAcentral lists this ribosomal RNA (88 nucleotides) under Vibrio parahaemolyticus. RNAcentral's name for it is "partial 16S ribosomal RNA". The stretch from base 1 to 79 matches the Rfam family "Bacterial small subunit ribosomal RNA", at positions 1455 to 1533 of the family's 1533-position model. Lineage: Bacteria; Pseudomonadati; Pseudomonadota; Gammaproteobacteria; Vibrionales; Vibrionaceae. The record is from RNAcentral.